RNAcentral lists this ribosomal RNA (1244 nucleotides) under metagenome. RNAcentral describes it as "bacterial LSU rRNA". It matches the Rfam family "Bacterial large subunit ribosomal RNA", at positions 1564 to 2818 of the family's 2925-position model. The record is from RNAcentral.
UGAAUACGAGAUGCUACGGCGUCGAAGCAGUCUAUGUCAUACUUCCAAGAAAAGCUCGCACUGUCAUAAACAAAUAAUGCCUGUACCAUAACCGACACAGGUGGGUAGGUAGAGUAUACUAAGGGGCGCGAGAUAACUCUCUCUAAGGAACUCGGCAAAAUGACUCCGUAACUUCGGGAGAAGGAGUGCCUUAUUUAUAAGGUUGCAAUAACAAGAUCCAAGCAACUGUUUAUCAAAAACACAGGUCUCCGCUAAGUCGUAAGACGAUGUAUGGGGGCUGACGCCUGCCCAGUGCCAGAAGGUUAAAGAAGUUGGUUAGCAUUCGCGAAGCUGAUAACUGAAGCCCUGGUGAACGGCGGCCGUAACUAUAACGGUCCUAAGGUAGCGAAAUUCCUUGUCGGGUAAGUUCCGACCCGCACGAAAGGCGUAAUGAUUUGGAUACUGUCUCGGAGAGGGGCUCGGUGAAAUAGACUUGUCUGUGAAGAUGCGGACUACCUGCACCAGGACAGAAAGACCCUAUGAAGCUUUACUGUAACUUGAGAUUGAAAUUGGACUUUACUUGCGCAGUAUAGGUGGGAGGCGUUGAUAAUAUUCUUGCGGGAUUAUUUGAGCCAUCAGUGAGAUACCACUCUUGUAAUGUUAGAUUUCUAACUUUGUAUCAUUAUCUGGUCAAAGGACAGUUUCAGGCGGGCAGUUUGACUGGGGCGGUCGCCUCCUAAACGGUAACGGAGGCGCACAAAGGUUUCCUCUGAACGGGUAGAAAUCGUAUCUAGAGUGUAAAGGCAUAAGGAAGCUUGACUGUGAGACCUACAAGUCGAGCAGGGACGAAAGUCGGUCUUAGUGAUCUGACGGUGCUGAGUGGAAAGGCCGUCACUCAACGGAUAAAAGUUACUCUAGGAUAACAGGCUGAUCUCCCCCAAGAGUUCACAUCGACGGGGAGGUUUGGCACCUCGAUGUCGGCUCAUCGCAUCCUGGGGCGGUAGUACGUCCCAAGGGUUGGGCUGUUCGCCCAUGAAAGCGGUACGCGAGCUGGGUUCAGAACGUCGUGAGACAGUUCGGUCCAUAUCCGGUGUAGGCGUUAGAAUAUUGAGAGGAGCCUUCUUUAGUACGAGAGGACCGAGAAGGACAUACCUCUGGUGUACCAGUUAUCGUGCCAACGGUAAACGCUGGGUAGCUAUGUAUGGAGUGGAUAACCGCUGAAAGCAUCUAAGUGGGAAGCCCACCUCAAGAUAAGUAUUCUCAUC